This is a long non-coding RNA of Saccostrea cuccullata (small rock oyster), 612 nucleotides long. RefSeq lists it as uncharacterized. The transcript is spliced from 3 exons. The record is from RefSeq and is a predicted model, not a curated record. Lineage: Eukaryota; Metazoa; Mollusca; Bivalvia; Ostreida; Ostreidae.
UUAAGAUCCACUCCCCAAAAACCUUCGAGAUAUCAGAUAAGGAGUGCCUCUCGCUUAGUUGGUCAGUUUCAGUGUCAGGAUAACCUUGUUAUGCAAUUUUCUUGCUGGGCAGAGUAUCGCUGUUUGCAGCUUAUCUAGGUCAAAAUUUGAAUUCAACUGAUGGACAAGAAGUGCGCGUCUCCUUGCUGUUCAUAUUUAAUGUGUUUUUCCAGCUAUAUACACAAGGAUUAAGACUGGAAUAUCAACUUCUGCUCAUUCGUCGUAAGGUUCAAUCAACCAGUGGUGCAGGGAAUUGAUUGUAUAGUCAGCCUUGAUUGCAUCAGAUUCUUCGCCCGUGAGAAUUAUACAAAGGAAUGCAACACUUUGCUUUUGCUUUAGAGGGUGGAUUCUCCUGUUCAUUUCUUUCAUUCGUUGGACUUAACUAUAUGCGUGAUUAAAAUCAAUGGAUCCGCCACUUUGUGGAACUUAUUAGUGUAAGGCAGACGCGUACUUUGAAGGCAGACACGUACUUUGAAGGACCUCGAUGUGAUUACUGUGACCCACUUUUCACUAGGAAUAUAAAUUUUGUCACGCAGUGAUUUUUGAGAUUCAGUGAUUGAAUCCGAGUUUGUG